Molecule: ribosomal RNA, 468 nt
Filed under: uncultured bacterium
Lineage: Bacteria
Description: partial 16S ribosomal RNA
Rfam family: Bacterial small subunit ribosomal RNA
Source: RNAcentral
GACGAACGCUGGCGGCGUGCUUAACACAUGCCAGUCGAACGGAAAGGCCCUGCUUUUGUGGGGUGCUCGAGUGGCGAACGGGUGAGUAACACGUGAGUAACCUGCCCUUGACUUUGGGAUAACUUCAGGAAACUGGGGCUAAUACCGGAUAGGAGCUCCUGCUGCAUGGUGGGGGUUGGAAAGUUUCGGCGGUUGGGGAUGGACUCGCGGCUUAUCAGCUUGUUGGUGGGGUAGUGGCUUACCAAGGCUUUGACGGGUAGCCGGCCUGAGAGGGUGACCGGCCACAUUGGGACUGAGAGACGGCCCAGACUCCUACGGGAGGCAGCAGUGGGGAAUAUUGCACAAUGGGCGGAAGCCUGAUGCAGCAACGCCGCGUGCGGGAUGACGGCCUUCGGGUUGUAAACCGCUUUCGCCUGUGACGAAGCGUUAGUGACGGUAAUGGGUAAAGAAGCACCGGCUAACUACGUG